CAAUAGCGUAUAUUAAAGUUGUUGCAGUUAAAAAGCUCGUAGUUGGAUUUCGGGAUGGCCCGGCCGGUCUGCCGCAAGGUAUGUUACUGGCCGAGCUGUUCUUCUUCGCAAAGACUGUGUGUGCUCUUAACUUAGUGUGCUCAGGAUCUGUGACGUUUACUUUGAAAAAAUUAGAGUGUUCAAAGCAAGCCAGCGCUUGAAUACAUAAGCAUGGAAUAAUGGAAUAGGACUUUGGUUCUAUUUUGUUGGUUUCUGGAACCUUAGUAAUGAUUAAGAGAGACAGUUGGGGGCAUUCGUAUUUCGUUGUCAGAGGUGAAAUUCUUGGAUUUACGAAAGACGAACUACUGCGAAAGCAUUUGCCAAGAAUGUUUUCAUUAA
Molecule: ribosomal RNA, 378 nt
Filed under: uncultured eukaryote
Lineage: Eukaryota
Description: partial 18S ribosomal RNA
Rfam family: Eukaryotic small subunit ribosomal RNA
Source: RNAcentral